CAGUAGCCACGGUAAUACGUAGGGUGCGAGCGUUGUCCGGAAUUACUAGGCGUAAAGGGCUCGUAGGUGGUUUGUCGCGUCGUCUGUGAAAUUCUGGGGCUUAACUCCGGGCGUGCAGGCGAUACGGGCAUAACUUGAGUGCUGUAGGGGUAACUGGAAUUCCUGGUGUAGCGGUGAAAUGCGCAGAUAUCAGGAGGAACACCGAUGGCGAAGGCAGGUUACUGGGCAGUUACUGACGCUGAGGAGCGAAAGCAUGGGUAGCGAACAGGAUUAGAUACCCCCGUAGUCCCUGUCUCUUAUA
Molecule: ribosomal RNA, 301 nt
Filed under: uncultured bacterium
Lineage: Bacteria
Description: partial 16S ribosomal RNA
Rfam family: Bacterial small subunit ribosomal RNA
Source: RNAcentral